RNAcentral lists this long non-coding RNA (410 nucleotides) under Androctonus crassicauda. The record is from RNAcentral. Lineage: Eukaryota; Metazoa; Arthropoda; Arachnida; Scorpiones; Buthidae.
AAAUGCGGCGGAUCCGAUUGUACCUGUAAAGACUGUAAAUGCUGUAAAGCAGCUAAAUGUGGAGGCUCAGAUUGCACUUGCGACGACUACCUGCGACGAUUGCAAGUGCUGUAAAGGAUCGAAAUGCGGAGGAGCCGACUGUACCUGCAAAGAUUGUAAAUGUUGCAACGCUUCGAAAUGCGGCGGAUCCGAUUGUACCUGUAAAGACUGUAAAUGCUGUAAAGCAGCUAAAUGUGGAGGCUCAGAUUGUACUUGCGACGAUUGCAGAUGCUGCAAAGCAUCAUGUUGCUAAGAAUGAAAUAAACCACAUUCUAUUUUGUCACUAAAUAAACGUAUAAUUAAAUCAAUUUAUGCAAGCUUUAUUAAUUAUAUUACUUUUUAUAUUAUAUCAAUAAAUCAUUUGUAUGCUG